This 30-nucleotide non-coding RNA is filed under the name Homo sapiens (human). Lineage: Eukaryota; Metazoa; Chordata; Mammalia; Primates; Hominidae. The record is from RNAcentral.
UGCAUAACCAGGGCAGCCCAGCAGCGUCGU